GCCCCCGUAGCGCAGGUGGACAGCGCGCCGGUCUACGAAUCCGGAGGUCGGGAGUUCGAAUCUCCCCGGGGGCA
RNAcentral lists this transfer RNA (74 nucleotides) under Paractinoplanes pyxinae. RNAcentral describes it as "tRNA-Arg". It matches the Rfam family "tRNA". From Rfam's summary of the family: Transfer RNA (tRNA) molecules are approximately 80 nucleotides in length. Their secondary structure includes four short double-helical elements and three loops (D, anti-codon, and T loops). Further hydrogen bonds mediate the characteristic L-shaped molecular structure. tRNAs have two regions of fundamental functional importance: the anti-codon, which is responsible for specific mRNA codon recognition, and the 3' end, to which the tRNAs corresponding amino acid is attached (by aminoacyl-tRNA synthetases). tRNAs cope with the degeneracy of the genetic code in two manners: having more than one tRNA (with a specific anti-codon) for a particular amino acid; and 'wobble' base-pairing, i.e. permitting non-standard base-pairing at the 3rd anti-codon position. The record is from RNAcentral. Lineage: Bacteria; Bacillati; Actinomycetota; Actinomycetes; Micromonosporales; Micromonosporaceae.